UGCGCGGUGGAGCAAUGGCAGCUCGCCGGCCUCAUGAGCCGGAGGCAGCAGGAUCAAAACCUGCCCGCGCAACCA
This 75-nucleotide transfer RNA is filed under the name Euzebya pacifica. RNAcentral describes it as "Euzebya sp. DY32-46 tRNA-Met". It matches the Rfam family "tRNA". Rfam says of the family: Transfer RNA (tRNA) molecules are approximately 80 nucleotides in length. Their secondary structure includes four short double-helical elements and three loops (D, anti-codon, and T loops). Lineage: Bacteria; Bacillati; Actinomycetota; Nitriliruptoria; Euzebyales; Euzebyaceae. The record is from RNAcentral.